UUUUUUUUUUUGUCUUUUCGAUUCUCAUUUCUAUCUCAUCUUUUCUCUUAAAACUUUCAUCUAGUUAACAUGAGUUACAAAGUAUAUGAAACUUUCGGUCUUGUCUCUCUCUAUGCUAGUAACGAAGAUGGAUAACUUGAUAUUAUCAUAGAAGAUCAUCUUUUCAAGAUCAAAUGAUAAUUGAAUCUAAAAGUUAAUCUAGACAUCAAGAAGGUUUCCUCAUAGGAUAGGAAUGACAGACUAAUCUAUACGGUAACUUCCUAGGUAGGAUUCUUUCUUGAACUUGCUUUAAGACAUGGUUGGAAGAUUUUUUUUGUUUUUAUUUUUAUUUUGUGGAGAAUAUGAAUUAUAUAUUAUUGGGAGGGUUAUGAUUUUUUAGAGGGCAACUUUUAACCCUCAUUUCAGUUUUUGUUAGAAAAAAUUAAGUUCAUUCUCAUUUGGCUGCAACUCUUUGGUCUUUCCUCCGGAGCUCAUUCAAUCCAAUCUCCUCACACAAUUUGUCUCUCAAUUAAACAUAUUCUUAAAAAUAGACUAGGGUAUCCUCUCUCACACAAGGGGUAAGUAUGCUUGUAUCUGUGUACUUCUAAAUCUUUCUCAACCAAGUCCCUUAGGAAAUUUGGAUUUAAGUUAGGGUUUUUAAUUUUUUUUCACAUAAUUACAUUUGAAAACAUUCUCAAUAUUUACUUCGGCAAAGUGGGCCAUAGAACCACCCAUCCCCUCGACCUUCCUUGCUAUUCCUAUCGGAACAUAAGGUUUUCCAUCAAGACAACGAAGGCUAGGGAUGAUCUCCUUUACAAACCUUGAGUCCAUGUUCAAAGCUAUACUAAACCCAAGCCCGUUAAGACCAACCUGCAUCUUCAAGACACAGGUAAAAAUAUCUCUUUCGACCCACCAAGUAACACCCUCCCCUUGAUAUGGUUCAAUCUAUUCAUACCCAUCAUGUAUCUGUAUCCGACCUAAGCCUUGGUCAGGAGGUGACCCAAGUCUCAUCACUUAUUUCCAAUGUAGUGUCCUCUUCGAUGAAGGUUCUUAAUGCAAUAACUCAUUUGUUGUCUUGUUUGUCACUCUUUUGCCAAUGCUUGUCACUAUGUUGUUGGUGAGCUCAAAGGCCAUUGAAAGUCAAGCGGGCAAGUUAAUGUCAUCACUCUCUCAAGCCUCUUAAUAUGUCAUGUGUGCCCAGGAGUAGCACAUAUUUUGAACUUAGAAUCGACUCUAAUCGUUCACCUAUUUCGACAAUAAAAUUUUCUAAAACCCAUCACUUUUUCUAUUAUAAAAUUUUUUAGAUCGAGAAUAAAGUCAUUCACAAUUUGCUUUCCAGAUCAUUCUCUCUCUCUAACCCUAAUUACUUAGACCCAAUAUUUUACUCUAUCAGCACCUGUCCACUCUAAGCUCCUCCCUCUUAGUGGAAGAGAUUCUAUAUCCCUAGCCUUAAAUCUGUUAUUGAACAUACCCUAUCGAUAACUUAGGAAGAGAUCCUAGGAUUUUAUCUCCUUUAUUGCUCCUGAAAUAUCUUGCCUCAUGGCCUUUUAAAUAAAACCUUGCUCUCAAUAGAUAACUCCAUUUGAAAUAGUGGCCUCAAGCAAGAAUAUAAUAGCUCGAGUAAGAAGAAAAUAAUAUCAAAAUUUUUGAGCCUCGGGGGCAUCAUCCCGUUUCUCUCGUUAGUAUAUAAAUUUUUGAGCCUCUUUUGAUUUACUAGGCUAACUAGCCUCCUUGCCCUACAUUACUCAAAUUAUCUUCUUAAAAUUGAAUUAGCUAUUCACAAGAUGGGCCUCGAUAAAAGCUUAAGUCUUAAUGGAUUCAAUAUGAAAUUAUUUGUAGCGUCUAGAAUAUUCUCAACAGGAAGGAAGAUGAACAAGUAACAGGUAAAGUUUUGAGCAUGGUUGCAGUAUAAAUAGUGACUCAAUUAGCAGCAUCAGCGUAAGAAAGGAAAUGUUGGAAGUUGAAGAGAAGACAACUGAGGGAAGCUGUAAAGAACAGCAAGGGAAGCACUCUAGAUGGUUGAACCAAAAAAUAGUACUACUCCAGCUAUGGCAGAGUCCUCCAACUAUUCAAGACAAACAGUGCAUCAAAGAGUCGUCCACACUCUCAAAAUCAAAUGGGAGAGUAGUAGCAACUCUAUAUUGCCAACCCAGGAAACCGAAAAGUGCGAUAUAGACAGAUUCGAAGCACAAUGAUAGGAAAGAUGUACAACAGGUGACAGAGAUCUGAUUGUUAAAACAAGACUCGGCCUUUUGUUAUCGAUGGCGCCUUCAGCUUCUGAGAUUUUCUUCAAUUGGUACAAAGAGGAGAUGCCGGAGGCCUAUGAUGAGCAACCUUCCCCUUGGCACAUUCGUUCGAUCUUCUCCGAAGCGACCUGUGUGAGUUGCUACCGAUGCUUUGGCCGCUCGACUUCUGUUCACUCUGAGGGCUUCUCUCUGUGUCUUUAGCAUCCUGAAGCUGUUCUAGUGCAGCCACCACUUGAUCCAUGGUUGGUCUGUACCUUGCUUCCGAGGAUAAGCACUGGAGCGCGAGGACAGCAGCCUUUUGGGCUCCUACGAGUGAAUACUGCCCUCCCAAUCUUGGAUCCAAGACGCGGAAGAUCUUUCGCUUGCUCGUGAGAUAAGGCCUUGCCCAUUCCACCAGAUUAUGCUCUCCUGUCGGCCGGUUCUUGUCCACAGCACGUCGGCCAGACAACAACUCUAGAAGAACAACUCCAAAGCUAUACACGUCGCUUUUGGCAGUCAAAUGGCCUUUUAAAAUGAACAUGUAUGAAAUCCAGUGUCAGUACGUUCUCAUACUUCAACAUCAUAUAUGCAUGCAUAUGCUUGUCCAGAAUGAAAGUUGUUUGGCUGCAUGCGAACAACUUUCAAAUGAAAAGUCAGUUUGAAAAAAUAUUGGUAAGGAAAAUCAUGACUAUGUGUUGCAAAAAUAUUGGUAAUUGCAAAUGCAUUAUAGGCCAGACAACAACUAUCAAUUAUGCGAUCAUGGAGAGAAAACAUUCGACAUGUAUAAGAAGAUCACCUGUUGCAAGGUACUCGGGAGCUGCAUAUCCAUACGUUCCCAUGACCCUUGUAGAUACAUGACUUUUGUCACCUGUUGGACCAUCCUUUGCCAAUCCAAAAUCAGACAGCUUUGCUUCAUGAUUCUAUAAAACCACAAAAAAAAUGUCAGUGAUUUUUGUCAAUUUUGAAGGAAUAAUAAAUAAAAGCCAGAAGACCACUGACUGAAUCUAGAAGCACAUUAGAGGCUUUAAAAUCACGAUAUAUCACUUUUGCCACAUCGCUAUGCAAAAAGGCAAGCCCUUUUGCAGCUCCAAGUGCGAUCUUCAUACGAAGUUUCCAAGAUAGUGGUUGAAAAUAUGAACCCCCUGCGUCAAUAUCAAAUUACAGCGAAGAACGAUCAGAAGAGCUGAAUGACAAUCGACAGUAGUCAUUUUCAAAGAAAUGCUUCAGCCUAUCCAAUGGAUCGGAUGUAGAUCAUAUAUACUUACUCCUGAAGAGGUGGUUUUCCAAGCUCCCUCGAGGCAUGAAUUCAUAGACAAGAAGCCGUUGCUCGUCCUCUAGGCAGUAUCCAAUAAGCUUUACAAGGUGCGGAUGAGACAAUUGACCAAGAUAAUUUACCUCUGCCUACAAGAAACCGAAACAAUGUCAGAUUUGUUGCAGAAAACAGAGCACGCUUGCCGACAUACCGUGACAUGUUAAAGAUAACCUUAUACGAAGGCACUGAAUAAUCAACUCUCCAGAUUAAGCUAUUGCUAAAUAGUUAAAUUAAAAGGAAUUAAAAAAAAAACUCAAUAUACGCAGAGUAAAAUGAUACUCACCAACCAUUCCCUGUGACCUUGAUGACCUUCCUGGUUCAGCUUCUUCACAGCAAUAACCACUCCAGUGCCGGGUUUGGCAGCUGCAAGUGUGUGCUCAUCGAUCCAUCCCUUGAAUACCGAACCAAAGCCUCCCUCCCCCACCACACUGUCCGGUCGAAAGUUUCUGGUGGCUAUUCUCAGUUCAGUGAAGGUAAAGCUCUUCACAUUCACUGACUGCAAGAUCUCACCCUCGCUGCGCGGGGUUGGAGGCACAGAUGCUGCAGACACCUUGCUACUAGAACCACUUAAUUUCUUUCCAUCCCUGCUACUGCUUUUAGAGUGAAGUCCUAGGCACGAAAAUACGUCUCCUGGUGAAUCAGAUUCAGGAGAACUGAUCAAAAAAACCUACAACUAAGGAGCAAACUGACACAUGAAAUUCCCAUGCGCUCAUACCCCCAAGUUGAUCAUUAACCCAACAUGGUUGUCGAAGAAAAGAUUAAUGCAUUGGCCUCUUACAGAAUGAUUUUAGAUUAACAUGACCAUAAACACAGAGGUAAGAAAAGUCACCACACCCCAUCAAAAUCAUUCAACCAAAUGAGCCUAUGAAGACCGAAGUCAUGAUAUGCUACUACAUUUAUGUACUGUUGUCCGGUAAGACUGAUUUCUUGGGAUAAAAUCCUCAAACUCAUCUGGAGAUACAAAGAUAGGGAUGCAAAAUAAAGACAGGAUAACACCUGCAUGAACAGUUAUUCACCAUACCUCACAAAAAAUUUCCGGAAAAGGUAGGUUCAACAACAUGCAAAAGAAAGCCCCAAGUUGAUCUCUCAAAAACGAAGCCAAAAAACUAGGAGAUUUAGUCCGGGAAGACAAAUAUAUCUUUGGCUAAAAGUAAACCUAACCAAAACACACCAUCGAUCUCUGCAUUUAGCUAAAAGGGGUGAAAAUGUCACAAAACUCCAUUUUUGUUGCUGCCAAACACGUUAUGAACACCCCAAAGAUCAAACUUUCCAUUCCUAUACUUCUACAUGAACUCCACUCGAGCUCAAAACCCGCUCAAAAGAUCAUCUUGUUGGUACCUGAGGCAAAGAAGCCGUCGGAGGGACUCUCCGCCUUCACCUGAGCACCCCAGCAAUUCCCCAUCACGAUCCCCCAGCAAUUACCUCACGAACUAUGGCUCGGGACGGCGGCACCAGAUCCGUCCAAGAAGCAAUCUUUCCUAUAAAAAGCCGGUCGAAUCGAGUGCUCCUGCGACCUCAAAAGCGAACACCGACCACCACGGCGGUUCCAGCUAGCGAAAAGCGUUUCCCAGCUGCCGAACUCCAGAAUGGAAGCUCAGGUUCCACAACGUGGCACAUAUUCUGGAGCUGCAAAAGCGAUGAGGAUAGGAGAACCAAAAGGUGGCUGCUUUCAUUCUUCCCCGUCUCCCCUGUGUGUGUUCUCACCGUGCCCCUUCCGCCCCGCCAAGGUUGUCUUCACACCGCAAACAGUGAGUGGGGGUCGGGUGGUGCUUUGUUGUAAUGUCAUCAAACACACACGCAGUAUAGACCCGAUCAAAUUCAUCCACGUAGCACUAAUAACCACGUGUCUUUAUUACAGUCGCCGAUUAUUUCAAGUGUCUCUGGCUAACACCAUAAGCUGGUGCCAUUGGAUGGAGGUAUUAAUGGCGGGCCCGCUCCCGGUUACGUAACUCAGUCGGAGCCCAUCGAGCAUUAUAUUAUGAUGCAGUGGGAAUCGUUAUGUACCGCUUGAUGGAGAGCGAGGAGUGGCAUGAUGACCGUCGGAUGGGAAUCGGACGGUGCAUAGACCUGCAGCCGCCGGUGUAAGUGGACCUUCUUUGUCGGCUCCGGUGGACUCCAACUUGCGUGCUGCUUUUGCCCGUUAAAGAAUGUAUAUAUACACACACACACACAUAUAUAUAUAUAUAUAUAUNNNNNNNNNNNNNNNNNNNNAAUACCCAAAUAUUGUGUACGUAGUAAAAUACUUGUUACAACAUGAUGGAUUUGAAGUAGAUGUUUUGAGGAAACUGUGGGUGGCAGCAAUGGAAACCAGGACGAGCACGUCAACUCGUUCAUCAUCUCCAGCUAUGAUUCUCAAGUUAUAUAUGUGAGAUGCUGAGCAGAUCUGGGAGACUGCUGAUAGCAGCUGGUUGACUUCGCUGCUCUCUGCUAGAUAAUGAAACAACAUUGCUGAAGCAAUGUCUCUGACAUCUAAAUUUAACAUCAGAAAUAUUUUGUUUGGAAUGAUAUAACACUGCUUGAGGCAAUGUCUCUGAAGCAACGAUAUAACAUGCAUCGCUUAUUUUGUUUGGAAUGCAUUUGCCACUAGAAAACAAGUAAUGGAGAGAGAGAGAGAGAGAGAGAAGUUGAUCGAGGCAUUUUGAUGCAUGGCUGCUCUCUACUAGGAGACGAGGCGAUCGGACGAAGACAAGCAAUGAAGUCUAAUCUACUUGGAAGAAACAAAGUUCCCUUUUUUCUUCUUUUUUGGGAACUUUACACAUGUGAUCUAUCCAAUGAGAAAAGUUUCAUUGACCUUCAAGCGCCUGCAGUUCAUUGGCUAAAAUGAUCCUUUUGUAGGAGCCGCAGCACAGUAGUAGUAGUAGUAGGAAGGAAGGAACUCCCACCUUCAUCUGAGAGCCAAACUUUGAGCUACCAUGAUAAAGAAGAUCACAAUAAAAAUCAUGUGUUUCUGCAGCACUCUGCUCCUUGAUACCUUUCAAAGUCUCAUCUGUCUUUUGGAUCUAUACCAGCAGAAUUCUCUCGUCCUGCCAUGUCGUUCACAUGGACAUGGCUAAAGAUGAGAGUAGAAUAUUAAAAGGUGAGCAUUUGAUGUGGAUGUUUGUCCACAUUUGGCAGCUCAUGAGAACCUUCCAAUGGCUUUUAUUGGGACCCCGCAAUUUAUGGUUGCAAGUGGGCAGGUGUGCACUCUUAAUCUCUCCAUUAAAUUAUAUGGACCACAGGGAUUAACUCUGCUUCCAUUUGUGGUUAGGCAAAGGCAGGCAGCCAUCCCUUUGACUCUUCCCCAAUCCCUUCAUCACGAGACCUCUCUUUCUUCUUUCUUACCCCUUCCUUCCCCCCACAACUAAUGACUCUGUUGGGGAGCUCCAUGACAAGCACCAUGCAUCAGUUUCCUGUGCUGUGCUGUGUUAACAUUGUAGUCACAAUCACAGAAAAGAUAGGAAAUCUAGAUGCGUUCGGGGUCAAAGCUAAACAAGAGUCAUGAUGUUUCCAAAGUGUGUGCUUUGGAAAUGUUGAAGGCCUUUCGCUUCACUCAAUCAGCAACUAGUUUGACUGAAGGAUUAAAAACAUGUGCAGACGUGAAUAGUAUAACGUGAAACAGAUACUAUUGUCAUUGUGAUGCAAUCACAACAUCACCAUGCACUAUUUAUUGGACACUAUAGUCAAACAUUAAAUCAACAACUGCAGUAUGAAAUUUCAUUCAUUUUUGGGGCUGAGAAUGGCCUGACUUCUGUCUCAGAGUCUACAGUGAGUAAGUUUUUAAUAGUUAUAUAUAUAUGAAUAUAAAUACAUUGAUUACAGUUAUUUAUAAAAAUAUAAAUAAAUGGAAGGAAUGGUGAACAAUGGAUUUUUUUUUCCCAAAAGAAAAUUCUUAUUCAUUUCACUCCCUAAUAUUUGAUCCAAUAAACACAUGACUAUUAGGAAUGAAUUGUCAUGUUAGCAAUUGGGAAACAUUGCAACAGCAUUUCCUCUUAAUACUAUUUAUCAUGAUAUUAAGAGGGCUUAUUUUGAAACCACCCCAAUCUUUCGUUGUAUAUGUUCAUGCCAUGUUGCCCGUUAUGAUGAUCCGUUACAGUUGUUAACGGGUCGGAUCUAGUCCGUUGUAAAUAAAAGCAAAGAAGGGAAUCAAUUCCCGCCAUUUUGAGGGAGGUACCAUAUAGACCUUCGAGCGGUAACGGCCUCCGAUUAGGAAUUAGGGUUUGCUUUCGUCGUCGUCCUCCUCUUCUACCGCACGAUCGAGUCCCCCAUUCCCCAUCUCAUCCCCGAGGGUUUCCCAACAACGCGAAAUUUCUUAUCAAUGGCGGGCCAAUCGGAUCCCUACCUCUCCCACUUCUCGGCUCCGGAGGUGCUCAAAUCUGGUGGAGUUCAUCCCCAACAUCAGAACGGAGUCCCUCCACAUGAUUCAUGUAAUUUGAGCUCUUUCUUGAUCUCUUUAUGCCUCUAAUUCUAUGGAUUGAUGGCGAUUUUGGUGUUAUGCGCCUGCCAAGAGGAUGUCGGCCUUUCUUUCCGCAAAUCGCGAGCGAUGGCUCUGAAGAAACGUGAAAAAUGCACCAUCCGUUCUCCCGAAUCGAUGUCGGUUGGUGAGGGUUUAUUUCUUGGCUGUCAUCCAAAUUGUUGCUUUCAUGAGGUCUGAUAACAUAAGAAACAAAGAAAGAAGACUUCUUGCUAAACUAUGUCUCCUUAUAAUGCCGACUCUCCGUUAAAAUCCUUAUCGUAAAGUGCUUACCAUAAUUAUAGUAGUCUUUGAUUGGUGCAUAAUACUUCAGCCCUUGUUCCAGGACUCCAUGGAUUAGCUUCUCAGGGAAGUAAAGAGACAAUAAAUUUGUCAUCUUUCUUCUGUACCUUUCAAUUGAAGUCCUGUACAUGCUGUUAAUAUCACACUUAAAGCGAGAUCCACCUAAUUGCUAAAAGAAUCCAUAAGCUUUCUUUUCUUUAAGAAAAUGCUGGUAAUUAAACAGCUUCAUGCUAUGCAGUUGAUCUAUUCUUGUGUUUGAUGAGCAUAUGUUGUAUCAUGACAUAUAUGCUGUUGAAAUCUGAAAAUUAGUUAUUUUAGUUAUAUGAAAGCUUUUUAGUUGUGUCGGGCCAUUUUUCUAUCUCAUGAAGAAUAAUUAAACUGCUUAAUAUUUUACGGCAGUAGGUGCUUCAGUAUCUUGAUUAAUGCCCAGAACAUCAGCUGAACUUUUUGAUACAUGAGAGUCUUGUGAUCUAAUCUAACCCUUGACAUCCAUAUACAUGGAUUGUGAAUCAGUAGUUCAAGAAUUCCAUAUUUCUUUCGAGAGUCUUAUGUAUCAAAGUUCCCUUACACUGAGAAUUCUACUGCCUUUAUAACAAUAAGUUGCAGAUUCUCAGGUUUCCUUCCCCUCGAAAGCAAGUGACUGAUGAUGGCAAUCAGACAUUUGGUAUGUCCUUGGUGCUUGCAGCUAGUGAAAUGUAAUCUAUCAGGGAACCCCCAUAUGCUAAAACUAUCUUUUAUCUUCAUAAUGCUCAGUCAUAUUUUCAUGAUUUGCAAUACACACAACAAUGAUAAAAAGAACUAUAGAAAAUUGUUGCACAGUUCAUCCUGACAAGAUGUUGACACAUCAUCUUGCUGGUAUUAUUUGGUUGUUACUGUCAAAGAUUUUAAUUUUGAAUAAUACCACCCAUAUCGGGCGGUACGUACCGGUCCGCUAGCAGACCGGUACGUGGACCGCCCAUUACCGGGUGAUACCGUCGAUUGGGGUUGUUUCUGCCACGUUACCAUUCUAAAUUGGUCAUCAUCGUCCGCUACCGGGUGGGUAUUAGUCGAGGGAGAAGAACAAAGAGGAGAACUUGGAGAUCCGGUGCCGCUCUCUCUCCUCAUCUGAGGUGACGAGGGCUCACUAUCAUCGGUGACUUCUCCUCAUCCACGCGGGGAGAAGAAUCCUCGGCGAUGUCGUGGGGAGAAGAAACCGAACGUCCUCAUCCGCGCGGGGAGAAGAAUCGUCGGCAACGUCGUGGGGAGAAGAAAUUGAGUGUCGUCGAGGCAGCGUUUCUUCUUCCCACACAAGCAGAAGAAACAAGGUGACUUGCACGAGGAGAAGGAAACAGUUUCUUCUCCCCACCUUCUCUCCACGCGAGCAGAAAAGAGGCAACAUCGUGGGGAGAAGAAUUGGAGAUCCGGUGCUGCUCUCUCUCUUCAUCUGAGGCGACGAGGCCUCGCCAUCAUCAGUGACUUCUCCUCAUCCACGCGGGGAGAAGAAUCCUUGGCGACGUCGUGUUGGGAGAAGAAACCGAGCGUCCUCAUCUGCGCGGGGAGAAGAAUCGUUGGCAACGUCAUGGGGAGAAGAAAUCGAGCAUCAUUGAGACAACGUUUCUUCUCCCCACGCAAGUAGAAAAAACAAGGUGACUUGCGCGGGGAGAAGGAAACGAUUUCUUCUCCCCACCUUCUCUCCAUGCGGGCAGAAAAGAUACGACGUCGCCUUUUUCUUUAACUUGUACGUGUAUAUGUAUGUGUGUGUAUAUACAUAUAUAUACAUACAUACAUACAUAUAUAUAUGUAUAUAUAUAUAUAUAUGUAUAUAUAUACACAUAUAUGUAUGUAUAUAUAUAUGUAUGUAUAUAUAUGUAUGUAUAUAUAUAUAUAUAUAUAUAUAUAUAUUUCUUCUUACGCGUGCCAAAAAGGGUGACGAGACAGUCGAUAUAUAGUACCGUACCAUACCAUACCGAGCGAAUCUCGAAAUUCUGGUACGGUACAAAAUUUCAAUCCUUGGUUACUAUAUCUAUAUUCUUAGAGUCUACCAUCAUGGUGAAGAUUCCGUAAUAAUGACCUUUUCAGAAGUGAAACACUUAGACUUAAAUGACAUUUGUUCUUGCAGCUAAAAUGUCUCCAAGUAAAUAUAUUGAGCCCGUUCAUGGGAAGGGCCUGACAAGCUUUCAAGUGUUUCACUUCUUAGGAAGCAAACAGAUUAGAUCAUGGCCCAAGAGUAAGUCGGUCAGUUUUCAUUCUUAUAGCAUCUUAUUGGCUUUGCACUUGAAUCAAAUGGCAAAUGCAUGUUUAUGAUCUACAAGUGAUUUCUUGAAGCAUUAAUCUGCUGACUUUAUGCUUGCAUCGCUCUUGUGUACAUGUGACAGUGCUUUUGGCUAUCGUUUCUUGACGAAGUUUGUCUACAACUUUAUUUUCAUGUGACUACUUCUUGAGUAUAAAUUCUUCUCACUUAGAUUUUGUGGUUAUCCUAUCAGAUUCCGUAGCUUCUGCAUAAUUCUUUGUCCGCUAAUGAGAAUGCUCGCUCUAAUUCACUUUCCUUUUGCAGCUUUCCAUUGCAGGGAACAGUUCUGCCUUCCCUUCAUGUAGGACUCGUGUGAUCCACCGGUCUUCUUCCUCUCCCCUUGUAGCCCACCUCCGUCAUCUCUAUGCACAGGGCUGUGACGACGAUUGCUGCAAGAAAAGCAACGCCCUCGUGCUUCAGAGAGACCGGAACCUUGUGAUCUAUGGCCCAGCGCUUUGGGCCACCGGCACGAGAGUUCUGGUCUCUGCGGGUGUGGUGGUGACACAGAAGUCAACCAGUGCCGUCGGAAAGCCUAAGAACAAGAGCAUCUCCAUUCAUGGCAAAUGAAUCAAUUAGACCGAACAACGACAAAGGCUAGCUAUGUGUAUAUGAAGCGCUAUGCUCAGUGCAACUGUAACAGAAGUGAUAUCUUGGUAUCGUCGAACCCGAGGCAGCAGUAAAGAGACACCUCCUGCUGCUCAUUCUACAGUAACAUCGCAUGCGACGAAUUCAGAAGUACGCUUCAGUGAUAAAUAACGAUGAACAGUAGCAACAGCAUUUGCAAAAAGCUCGGAGGAGGCAGACCACCAACGGGCAUCGGCGUCGCCUCUCGUGUCGCAGACCUUCGUCGGUCUUAUCCUUGGAUCUUUCGUUUCUCUUGUUGUAAGUAGCACUUCGAUUCUUUCGUCCGUCUGUUGCUCGACGAAAUGCCAGCAAGACCUUGUUCGCCUUUGCGGACUUCACCACCCGUGUAUCCUCCCACAGCCCACGAGACGACCUCAAGUAGCAAGCUGGGACAAUUUGAGUCGAUUUUUCAGUUCUUUCGUUAUGGGACUUGCGCAAUGGAGCUCCACCUCUCUGCUCCCUCCGUUGUCCCGUCUCAGUUCCUCUUUCUACGUUCCUCUUUCUCCUCUCCAUGCAGCUUGGGCUAUGAUGGCGACGAUUCUCUUGGGCAGAUGCUGGAGGCGCUUCCUUGGUCUUUCCACGUCCGCUCUCUCUUUUUACGUCUUCAGUAUACUGUACCUGUGGGAAUCUGUAUCACCAUGAUUCAACAAGGUAGCCAUGCUUCCAGGUGCUGUGUGUGUCUGUUAGUUGCAUGCUUGUGACUUGUCUUUGGUUGCAGCCACUCCUUCAAUGCUGAAUGCCGUCCUCAAUACUGAGUGAGCAUUGCUUCUAUAUGGUCUUUUAUAGGUGAGAAAUCUGUUUCUAGGUGCUAUGUGCCUCUGUUAGUUGCACACUUGUGACUUGUCUUUUAUUGUAGCCGAUCCGUUAGUACUGGAUGUCAUCCUCAAUCAGUGAGCAUUGCUUCUAUAUGUUCUUUUGCAGGUGAGCUUCACAUUCCAUUCUUUGUUUUUUAUAUAGCUUGAUUCAAUUGGUAACUUCUGUGAGAUGAUUUUAUAUUUUGAAGCUUAUAUAGGUAGGAUUUGAACUCUUGUCAGUGGUGGGAAAAGACACAUGUGGUCAUCCUUUGAACAUGUCCAUAUCAUUUUAGGUGAUUCUCUAUCUUAUUCUCUAUUUGUACUACACAUAUUUCUUCAUGAAUGUGUAAUAUUUCUGUCUUUCCUACUGAGUUUGCAUGUCCACUUCAACAUAAUCAUGAACGCUAAAACAUGACUUGUCUACCAAAUUACAAUCUUUUUAGUAUAGAAGGCACUCAGUGAUCACAAAAGAUUAUCGACGUCCCCUCUCGUUUUAUCAUUCAGCUUUUGCACUAUGAAUUGAUUUUACACUUUUUUUGUCAUUCCAACAAAUAAUGUUCCCAUUGAGUGAUAAGGACCAGUGGCAAUUUAACAAUCCAUUUGUUUUGCUUAGCACUUCCCACGAAGAGGUCCUGCAUCAUGAUGAUUUCCAAUCUGCUUUCUAUCAGAUGGGAUUUUCCGCAGGUUUUUAAUUAUGAGCAUAGUGGCAAAACCAAGAAAAAAAUUCUGGAUGUGUGCCUCAGUGUCAUCUAAGGGAAGCAUUGGUUGACCCCACCUCGCUAGCACAAGGUGGGGUUGAUAAAGGCAAGCUCCAUCAGCUUCGCCCGACCCUUCGCUAGCACCAACCUCAUCUUCACCCUCCUCACCCUCACGGUGAGGUUGCAGUUGCAUCAAUCUGAGUGGGCAGGGGUCUCGAGGGUUGUCAUUGUGGUUGAGUGGAGUAGAGGUCGGCACAGCAACAAUGUUAUAGUGGGAGCAUCACCAUCCGGAGCUUUCCGACAUUUCGAACGCUCCCGAUCUAUUUGUGUAGCCGAGCUUGAUAGGGAGCACUUAAUUGUUAUCUAAUAAUGGUAUAUAGGAUGAAAGGAAAAGAUGAUGAUCACCCUCUAUCUAUCUUCCCACAUGGGAAAGGGUCAAACGCAAAUGAUUAUGGGUUGUCUUCACUUGUUACCCACGUCAACAAGAGAUUUAAGGAGAGGUUGUUAGAGGCAGUUAGAGACCGUCUCCUCACAUAAUAUUUCGUUGAAUAUUUUGUUCAUUUAUGAUUAUGUAUAAAAGCUCAUCUUCAAUAUAGUGAAGGGGGGCUUACUUUUUUUGACCACUCAUAUAUACACUAAUAUAACUCAUGUUACUAACUUCGGUGUCAAAGAGAUCAGGUCAAGAAACCUCUCCUGUCCUCGUGCAGGUGGCACCUUAGAAGUUUAGCAUUUUCACUUUGAAGACACAUCGGACAACCCUACAUAUAUGAGUUCGAACUACAUUGAGCUGAUCAGGACACCAAUGAUUUCUUCCCUUAUUGUUUUGGCAUUAGAAUGAAGGUUCAAUAUUACAAGAAUGUCCACCUGUCAAUCCUCUCAAUGAACACUCGAGCAAGGAGGCUUUACCCCCAACCCACAUUACUUUCACUCAAGGGGAGCAACAGUUAACCUUUUCGCACAUGGACAUAUCCACCUUGGUGCAAAUGUCGAUGUGGUACUAACGUCUAUUCAAUGACCUAAGCCUCUCACCCACAACGAUGACCCCGAGCCACUUGCUCAUCUCCGUUGAGGUGUUCUUGAAUCUCACACAACAAGUGUAGGCGCUAAUACGCAUGAUACAGGUCAUCCUCCACUUUUGUCCUUGUUAGCUCAAUAAGCGACGCCACAGCUUAGCCACAGUCAUCGACUCAACCGCCACCUACACUGGCACCCAUCGAGGUUCCCCACCUGACAUGGUGCUGACAUCUCAUGAGCACCCGAGACUCAUCAAACCGUCGACCAAGGGGGCAGUUCACUCCCCAACUAUAGAAUUUAGCGAGCCAUACCAUCACUUUCCCUACCUAAAUCCGAGACCCAAUCAAUAGAUUCGAUAGAGGAUUCUCUACGAAUCCAACUAUAGUAGAUGGAUCGACGUUUAGAGGAGAUGCAAUAAGAGUUCCAACAAUCCAAGGGAAGUAUUGGUUGACCCCACCUCGGGUCGGUCACCAUUCACCUAGAAAAUCUAGGAAAAAUCGAUUCUAGCAAACUUUUGCCUCCCAUCGUUGGAGGCAUUUGAUGGCAAUGUCGACCCAAUAGAACACAUUGUAGUUUUUCAUGCCCAAAUGUUAUUGUAUGACACUUCGAACGCUAUGAUGUGCUGCACCUUCUCGAUUAUAUUAAAAGCCCUAGAACGAGAAUAUUACACUUGCUUGAAGCUGCUAUCCAUCAGUUCAUUUGCCCGUCUCGUAAAGAAGUUCGAAUUUCACUUCCUCGGAAAUAUGCACCCAAGGCCAUUAGCAACAACGCUUCUCAAACUCAAGCAAGAGGAGGAGGAAAUGCUUACAGACUUCAUCGCUUAGUUCACUAAUGAAAUCCAAGGCAUGGUAGAUGUCCAUCUGUUGCUUAUAAUGCAUACCUUUAUAAUGAGGCUCAAGCCCUCUCGUCUCUUCUAAUCGUUAGUAGAAAUGCCAUCGACGACAAUACCAAGGUACUUCAAAGGGACAAUCAAUAUAUUGCCACCGAGGUAAUGGUCGCUAGUAAGCAUAGGAAGUCAAGCAAGAGGUCGAAGCAAAAACAACCACAAUUCACCUUGACCUCGAGAUCACUACGGUGAAGGAGGAACGAACGACUUUAGUUACCUCGCCCAAGGUCCGAGCUAACUCCCCUGAAUAUGUUUAGAACUAAAGUUUUUCUACAGAUAAAAGAGAAGGGGCUCUUAAAAGACCCUUACUCAAUGAUGACUUCGUUGGUGAAAAAAGACGGGUCUAAAUACUAUUAGUUCAUCGACAUGAAAGAAUAGAUUGAAAAACUCAUACGUCGAGGACAUCUCGAGCAAUUCAUUCAAUAACAUAAGGAACUCUCACCCUGACCUGAGGCACUAGUGGAGAACCGAGGCUAAGUAGAGAUGGCUCCUAAAGGGGCUUUGGAGGUUCAAAUGGAAGAAUGAGCCUCACCCCCCACGGUCAAGGGGGAUUUAUAGUGACGUGAUCAAUCUCCCUCCUCCAACAUUGAUGACAAGUGUCCUUUCAAGUUGAUUCCAAAGAGACAUCAAUUGAUGAAAGGGCACCUCGGAAAGCGUAAAAGUGAUCAAUGUGCGAAGUGUUGAAUAUCGGAUUUUGAUAAUGAAAUCAAUUGAUGAGUUUACGAUCUAAUCUAUAUUUUGAGUGACACAAGAUUAACUUCGAUCAAAAAAGAUAAAUCGAUUAAAGCAGGAGGAAUCAGACAUUGGACCGGAGUGAAAUAGGUCGGGAGAUUGGACAUCGAGCCGGAGGAUCGGUCGACAUACCGGCAUAAGGUCUUCGUGUCAUGAGUUUAGGUAUCGGGCCAAAUGAUCAGAAAUUGCACCAAGGAGAUCAGAAGUUACGGGAGUCAACAUGUUGCUUGGGCAAUACGUUAAAGGAGAUGACGAUGCGUCGAAGGAUCGGAGGAAGCGCUAGAUGAACCAAUGACAUGUCGGACAACAUAGGAUUCAUGCUUAUAAUCAAUUAUGUCUAGAUCAAGUUAGUUUAGGUCUAAUUGAGUCGGUAUUUGGGUGAAACAAUGCCAAUUCAAUUAGGGGUCAAUUGGACCCGAAUUAGGGUUGUUUUAGGCUAAGUGAAAGGCUCAUUCAGUGACCCAUAACAGGCCCAAGCGGUGGCACCGUCAGACUGGGUAGUGAUACCGCCCAGAUAUAGUCUCUCAGACCGUGUCAGACGAUGGAACCGCUAGACUGGGCGGUGGUACCGCCAGAUUGAGCGGUGGUACAGCCUAGUGUUAGUGCUGUAGGCGAUGGUACGGUCAGGACUCAAGAAACCCGGGAUGAGACUAUUUUUUACUUUAUUUUUGAAGUCAUUUGGGAUCUAUAAAUACCCCAGUUAUUUUUUCUUGGCAAAGCACGAAACUGAGUAGAAAAGGGAGAAAGAAUACUUGAGAAAAAAAGUUAGAAACUCUCUUAGGAUUUAGAGUCUCUUCCUUUUAGAGUUAGAAAUUUUUCUAAGGGAAUAGUGAAGUCUAAAAGAGAGGUGUAAAGGUUCUCUCCUGAGCUUGUGAAAAUGAGAAAGAGUUGUAAGAGUAGUUGAUUUUUGCCCGUUGAAAGAAGAUCGAUAGUGAAAGUCGAUGGUCUCGAGUGAAGAGUAAUCGGGAGUGGAUAUAGGUCACGACGAUCAAACCACUAUAAAUCUGGUGUACUCGGUUUGUAUUUCUAUUAUGUUUUUCAUUCUCAUAUUUUAAAGCGAUUUACUUGCUUACGACUCUUACUACGCAUACGAACGUGCUCUCUAAGUUUAAACACCCCCCCUCGCUUAGUGCCGAUUUCGGUCCUAACACGAAGAUUAUCUUGGAAGUACAAAAAUGAUCGAUGUGCAUAGAGCACUUCGAAGAGCAUAAAAAUGACCAAUAUGUGAAGACCAUAUUGCAAAAUGCAAAAGUGAUCGAUGAGCAAAAAACUCAACCCAGGUAAGAAGAAAUCCGUCACGGUAGGAGAUACAAGAUAAAAUAUGCUCGAGACGUAUGAAUCACAAAAACCCAACGUGCGUUAGAAGGAACCCACCACGAUGGGAGGCAUAAGGCAAAAUGUGAAUGAGGUGCGUAAGUAAGGAAAGCCCAACCCGUAUAAGAAGAAACACGCUACGACGGGAGACACAAGAGAAAAUGUGUCCAAGUCGCAUGAGUCAGGAAAACCUGAUCAAUACCGGAAGAAACCCAUCAUGACGGGAGGCACAAGAGAAUAUGUGCUUGAGACACACGAGUCAAAAAACCUAACUUUCGUAAAAAAAAAAAAAAAAAAACCAACGAGAGGCAUAAGGAAAAAUAUGCCCAAGGCAUGUCAGUUGGGAAAGCCCGACCUCCACCUCCACCUAAGGUAGAGAGAUUGGGAAGUUCAAACCCCGUCUCCACGCAAGGUGUGGAGGUUUGGAAACUUGACCCCCGCCUCCGCUCGAGGUAGGGAGGUCGGGAAGUCCGAUCCCACCUCCGCUCGAGGUAUGGAAGUCGGGAAGCCCAACCCCACCUCCGUUCGAGGUAUGGGGGUUGGGAAGCUCGACCCCCACCUCUGCUCAUGGUAUGGAGGUCAGGAAGCCUGACCCCCGCCUAAGGCUCGAAGGUCGGAAAACCCGACCUCGUCCGACCAAUAUGCAUCCCUCGAUGAUACGGGGGCCAGGUCGGUAAUUGAUCGCAACCAGCAACGCUAGGGGAGACAAUCAUAAAUGGAUGUGUCAAACGAACUCAUGUUAGACGAUAUGAGGUGCAUGAUAGACUAGACGUGCAGGAUGAAUUUGUGUUGGAUAAACUAAACAUGCCACUAGGUCGACAAUGGAUUGAAGAUCUAUGAGCCCUGAGGCAUGCCUUUAGAGGAGGAUAAAUGAUAGGGAGUACAAUGUCAACUAAUCGUCAUCUGACAUGUAACAACCACGUGGUGUCUAGGGUGAAAGAAGAAGACGAAUAUCACCCUCCACCCGUCUACUCACAUGAAUAAAAGUUUAAAAUAGAGGCUAGAGGCUACUCCCUCCCUUGUCACCCACAUAGAUAAGAGGCCAAGGGGAGGCUAUUGGAGGCGGUUAUAAAAUAUUAUGUCCCUUUACGAUCAGAUAUAAAAGCUCGUCUUCAACAACACAAUGAAGAGGAGAUUAUCUUUUUUGACUGCACUCGUAUAUCUCGGAUAACUAACGAGCAUCGAACGGAUCAGGUCUAGAAAUCUCUCCCGAGCUCAGUCUUCAUGUAGAUAGCACCUCGAGGGCUCAACGUUUCCACCGCAUAGGCACCUUAGACAACCCUACACAUAUGAGUCCAAACAAUAUCGAGUUGAUCAAGACGUUAAUAACUUCUUCCCUCAUUAGAGUUCGUUCAGCCAUGGACUUGAAGAUGUCAAGCUCAUUCCACCAUGGACUUUGCUUGGGUCGAGCCGACAACCCCGAAGAUGCCAAGCUCGUUCCGCCAUGGACUCCGACUGGGUUGAGCCAGCAACCCCAACUCCCUGCUCCCACCGGUCCAAGUCGAUGGCAGCUGCGGAACCUCAUUUCCGCUGCCAUUGCUACUGCUACCCCGAUGAUAAGCUUGUUGCUAUCAUAGAGAGCAAAUGACAGAAGUAACAAAGAAAGAAAUUAGCAACACUGGUGUGAAGCUGAUGAGGGGAAAAGAAAUGGACAAAGAGAAAAAGGCAAAGAGAAGGCUCACCUGGUCCAAGUUAGGUGGAUGGACAUGUACGGGAACAGACAACUGGUUUGGAGACUGCUUGCUUCUCUUUCGGCAAAAGAGAACGGAGUGAUGAUACGUCUGCUUUCUCGUGGCUUUUAUGUUUUUAUAUUCUUGGGUGAGGUUCUAGCCAUGGCGCCAGGGAAGAAAGAGAGAGCGAGAGCGAGAGAGAGAGAGAGAGAGAGAGAGAGAGAGAGNNNNNNNNNNNNNNNNNNNNNNNNNNNNNNNNNNNNNNNNNNNNNNNNNNNNNNNNNNNNNNNNNNNNNNNNNNNNNNNNNNNNNNNNNNNNNNNNNNNNNNNNNNNNNNNNNNNNNNNNNNNNNNNNNNNNNNNNNNNNNNNNNNNNNNNNNNNNNNNNNNNNNNNNNNNNNNNNNNNNNNNNNNNNNNNNNNNNNNNNNNNNNNNNNNNNNNNNNNNNNNNNNNNNNNNNNNNNNNNNNNNNNNNNNNNNNNNNNNNNNNNNNNNNNNNNNNNNNNNNNNNNNNNNNNNNNNNNNNNNNNNNNNNNNNNNNNNNNNNNNNNNNNNNNNNNNNNNNNNNNNNNNNNNNNNNGAGAGAGAGAGAGUGAUGUGUUGGCUACAUAAAUCGCAUACCCAAUGCUAACAAUUUUGUAUCAUUUGACUCGACAAUGCCGAAGUGUAAUUAGUUUCAGAAAAAGGUAUAAGCAGACUUCAUGUAAAACUGACGCAACAAUAAUAGUUCAAAAAUAAGAGGGCAUGGCCCAUGACAUACGGCCAAUAGCAACCCCAACAGUUCAAAUUUGACAUUCAAUGAAACUAAAGCGAGAACGAGAUACCAUUGAGACAACAUCAAGGACGGCCGAACUUAAUCCACCUCCUCAAUCUUGGGACCUGCACCACUGGCACCAGCAGAGGGUGCGUCAUCAUCCAUUCCACCACCCAUGUCAGCACCGGCACCCUGAUACAUCUUGGCGAUGAUGGGGUUGCAAAUGCUCUCCAGCUCCUUCAUCUUGUCUUCGAACUCGUCAGCUUCUGCCAACUGAUUGCCGUCGAGCCACUGGAUUGCCUGAUCAAUGGCAUCCUCGAUCUUCUUCUUAUCGGCAGCUGCAAGCUUGGAUGCAAUCUUAUCAUCCUUGAUGGUGUUUCUCAUGUUGUAAGAGUAGUUCUCCAGAGCAUUCUUAGCCUCCACCUUCUUCUUGUGCUCCUCGUCCUCCGACUUGUACUUCUCCGCUUCCUGCACCAUCUUCUCGAUGUCCUCCUUGCUGAGCCUACCCUUGUCAUUGGUAAUGGUGAUCUUGUUCUUCUGGCCGGUGGUCUUGUCCUCAGCAGAGACGUUCAAGAUACCAUUGGCAUCAAUGUCAAAGCAAACGGUGAUCUGAGGAACACCCCUAGGAGCAGGUGGAAUUCCAGAGAGUUCGAAUUUGCCCAGCAGAUUGUUGUCUCUGGUCCUCGUCCUCUCACCCUCGUAAACCUGAAUCAGGACACCGGGUUGGUUGUCAGAGUAGGUAGAGAAGACUUGCUCCUUCUUUGUGGGGAUGGUGGUGUUCCUGGGAAUCAAGACAGUCAUGACUCCUCCCGCGGUCUCCAGACCAAGAGAGAGAGGCGUGACAUCCAACAGAAGCAGGUCCUGAACCUUCUCAUUGCCCUCACCGCUAAGAAUUGCAGCCUGAACAGCAGCACCAUAAGCAACUGCCUCGUCAGGAUUAAUACUUUUGCAUAGCUCCUUACCAUUGAAAAAGUCCUGCAGCAGUUGCUGAACCUUUGGAAUUCUGGUAGACCCACCAACAAGAACCACAUCAUCGACACUGCUCUUGUCCAUCUUGGCAUCCCUCAAACACUUCUCGACAGGAUCCAUGCACUUCCUGAACAGGUCCAUGUUAAGCUCUUCAAACCUGGCUCUGGUGAUGGUGGUGUAGAAAUCAACACCCUCGUACAAGGAAUCAAUCUCAAUUGUGGUUUGUGCAGUGGAGGAGAGAGUCCUCUUUGCCCUCUCACAUGCUGUCCUCAACCUUCUAAGAGCUCUAGGGUUCCCACUUAUAUCUUUCUUGUGCUUUCUCUUGAACUCUUGGACAAAAUGGUUUACCAUUCGGUUGUCAAAAUCCUCACCACCAAGGUGAGUAUCACCAGCAGUAGCCUUGACCUCAAAAAUACCUUCUUCGAUUGUAAGAAGAGAGACAUCAAAGGUGCCACCACCAAGGUCAAAGAUGAGGACAUUCUUCUCACCAACACUACUAGCCUUCUUGUCAAGACCAUAAGCGAUAGCAGCAGCAGUGGGCUCAUUGAUAAUCCUCAUAACAUUAAGACCAGAAAUGACACCAGCAUCUUUAGUGGCCUGGCGCUGUGAGUCGUUAAAGUAAGCAGGAACAGUGACAACAGCAUUCUUGACGACAGAUCCCAGGUAUGCCUCAGCAAUUUCCUUCAUCUUCAUCAAGACCAUGGAAGAAAUCUCUUCAGCAGAAAACUGCUUUUCCUCCCCCUUGUACUGGACAGCAAUCAUAGGCUUGUCACCUGGACCAGAAGUGACCUUGAAAGGCCAGAGCUUGAUGUCGCUCUGGACAGAUGCAUCGGUGAAUCGCCUUCCAAUCAAUCGCUUUGCAUCUGGAAGGAGAAGGAACAUAUGAGCCACUACACUUUCAAAGUAACAACAACUAAAGGUUUCUAAGAAAAUAAAAUAGGUAAAGCAAUCUUUCACAUGCCAAAAUGGGCAAACUAAGCAAUGCAAUAGAACGUGCAAAUAUGAACCAUUAAGCAUUUAAAUGAGUGCCAACAAGCAAAACUCUUUUAUCAAUAUUAAUUGGACUGCCAAGCAUUUCCUUGUCAUUAUCAAAGAUUCUAGACACUGUUACUGUAUUUAGUAACUUGAGAGGAAGAUAGCCGCAUCUGUUAGAGGUUAUCCAAUAAAAAAACUUUUUUUUAUGAAUACAGCAUUAGACUGGCCAGAAAGAAGCAGACAAGAGACAACAAGCAUUCUAGAGUUUCAUGGCUAAAUCAAUCUUGGCAAAAUUGUAGUUGCACAUAAGAAGAAACUGACAUCACAACCUUACUUGCAGCAACUAAUUCAUUACCACAGCACAUGAAAUGAGUUUGUUUCAAAACCAUGAUAAAAGAUAUCCUUGAAGAACCACGAAUUAUAUGGUUCUAGCAUUAAAGAAAGCAUUAUAUAGCCAUGAAGCAAGGAAACAUAAUAAAAAAUUAAUUAUUGCCUAUAGUCAAGACUUCUGCACCAAAGUAAAAGUGAGAACAAAUCAUACUUGAGCACAAGUGAAAGAAGCAAAAAAUAAGAUCAACAAGAACAUAAGAUUACUGGAUUAUAAAAAUAAUGAAAGUAAAUAAAACAUGUGGAGCCAUUUGGAUGUAAAAAAACAAGAAUCCUUGGUUUGGAAUCAAUUGAUCGUGCAGAAUUUUCUAAGAAAUUCUUUGACUUCUUCAGAGAGAAGAUGAUAUUUUUUUCAUUUGCUUCUCGUGUUCUGUGAAUAACCAGGACACUGAGGUAGAGGCCUUUGCCUCUCCUCUGCUGUGAUCAAACAUGAAUUCAUAAGAGGUUUGUGGGAUUGGAUGGUAGGGUAGGGAUGGCUAUAUUGUCAAAGGAGAACUCCAGGCUAAAAUGAAACACAUGGCUACAUGUUAUGCCUAUAAAUGAGAGAAUUACAAAUCUGCUAUUUCUACAAACAAGGAAGAGCAGUUGGAUGCCAACUGGUGAUUGCUUGUGGUUUCAUAAUUAAUUUGGGGUUAUCAAGUUAAGUCAGCAUAUACAGGUUAAAUGUUAUACAAUAGCAUCUCGGAAGAGUACACAUAUGUACCACUGUUUUGUCCUAGAAUUAGCACCUCUUGACUAAAUUUCUCAGCUCAUGAACUCCAAAUGGCACUGCCUUGAACAUACAAUUCAAGCAUUAAUAACAAUUUACAAUGGCCUUUACAGUCGUUCACUAUAUGACCUAUUGAAUCAUUUUAAAACUAGUGCUUGGGAAACUUUCAAAUUAUGUUUUUCAAAUCCUAUUGAAAUCAUUCUGACUAUUUAUUUUCAUAAGCUCGUAUUAAUACCUAAAAGACCCAUACCUAUUUUAGCUUUCUGUAAGAAAAAGAACAAAGCAAAGAGAGUUCAGCUAUUGAUUUCUCUUUGUCAUGAUUAUGACAAGUAGGACCAAGUCAAACCGCCAACUAGCUGAUAUACAGGAAGUGCGAAAGAGUAAUCCAAGCAAACUUUUUGUAAUAGUUCUAAAGUAUCAUGCAGUAGAUUAAUAAGCUAAUAUUCACUGGUUCUUCUUCCUUUCAUGAAUUUUCUGCUAUUAUCCCAAGCAUAUCUUUAUUUCCUUCCCCACUCUGCUGCAAAAACAUCUAUUAGAUAAUACCCUUAUCCCAGUUAGCGCUAUCGUAAACCAAUAUAAAAGUGUGCUUUCUUCUCUUGUAAGUAGCAUCAAAGACACUAUCACAGAGGCCUCAAGUACAUGAGCACAUUCAAAAUCCAGGUAACACAGCAACUCAACCCAUAUCCAAAUCCCUGAAGCUCUGUAUAACAAACGGUGCAAGUAUCAAAAGGCAAAUGAUCUGUUGACUCGAAGCUACAUAGUCUGCUUUAUUUCCUUGGCGAGUUAUCUAGUCACAAACCUCAUAACUACUACAAAAGAUGUACCAGAAAACAUUCAAACCAAUGAAAGAAGGGUUCUAAUAAUUUGGUUCUUGCGAGCAAGCAUACCCAAAACGUCUCCAAAGAGAAGAACCAUACCCAAGCAAACAUAUCACAUAACAGCCAGAUCAAACUCACGAUUGUAAACGAUCACAAAAUAAUAGCUAAUGAUUCCAGAUCUAGCCAGAUCUAGUGCAAGUAAGCCCAAUGGAGCAAAAUUAAUCAUAGAUCUUUCAUCAAUAAUGAAUGAUAACGAAAACCUAGUGCUAACAUCGUUCAGAAUAUAAAGCACAGAUCCAAAUCACCAUACGUAAGCCAUCUCAAGAAUCAUCAAGCGAUCUCGAGGGGCAUACUCACCGAAAACAGUGUUGAUAGGGUUCAUGGCGACCUGGUUCUUGGCGGCGUCACCGAUGAGCCGCUCGGUGUCCGUGAAGGCGACGUAGGAGGGGGUGGUGCGGUUGCCCUGGUCGUUGGCGAUGAUCUCCACCCGGUCAUGCUGCCACACCCCGACGCAGGAGUAGGUGGUGCCGAGGUCGAUCCCGAUCGCCGGCCCAUCACCCUUACCGGCCAUUUCUCUAGAGAUCUAGGACGAGAGC
This 23456-nucleotide long non-coding RNA is filed under the name Musa acuminata (dwarf banana). Its description in RNAcentral is "long non-coding RNA (MACU_LNC004739)". The record is from RNAcentral. Lineage: Eukaryota; Viridiplantae; Streptophyta; Magnoliopsida; Zingiberales; Musaceae.